Long non-coding RNA from Monopterus albus (swamp eel), 571 nucleotides. RefSeq lists it as uncharacterized. The record is from RefSeq and is a predicted model, not a curated record. Lineage: Eukaryota; Metazoa; Chordata; Actinopteri; Synbranchiformes; Synbranchidae. The transcript is spliced from 3 exons.
UAAGAAAGAUGGCAGACAUAAGGCUCUUGUUCGCGGCAUGUGUAUUCAUUUUCAUCUGUUAGGAAACGUGAUAGAAGCAAUGCCAUUCCAUCAGGCAACAAUAUAACAGGAAACAAACUACUGGCUGUGAGAGAACCGAGGCAGCCAUCUGCGGUGUCAACUCAUACCGAUGGCUCUGACCAUCAGGGGCACUUUGGGGGUUCAGUGUGCCCAAGGACACUUUGACAUAUGGGCUGCAGGCAACAUGAAUCGAACCUCCGACCCUCCAGUUGGGAGACGAACGACCUACCCACUGAACCACAGUCGUCCCCAGACAUCAAGAUGAUAGAGAUUACAAUAAGACUCCUGCUGGUUGUCUCAGUACACAUAGACACAUAAUACAUUUCUUAUACUUAUUUUGGCCCCAUGACAAAAUCUAUCUGAAGUUUCCCUUACAAUGCAAGGACUAUGACAAGAGGACGAUGUUUCUCUAUACUGUACCUAAGCACAGAGCAGUUACUGAACAGGCUAAAGUUACAUGUAGUAUAUUAUUGGCUAUAGAAGUUACAGUUAAUUUACCAUUAUAAUAAGA